GCUUACGGCUAUACCACCCGGUCUGCGCCUGAUCUCAUCUGAUCUUAGAAGCUAAGCAGGGUCGGGCCUGGUUAGUACUUGGAUGGGAGACCACCUGGGAAUACCGGGUGCUGUAAGCU
This 119-nucleotide ribosomal RNA is filed under the name Sinocyclocheilus anshuiensis. Lineage: Eukaryota; Metazoa; Chordata; Actinopteri; Cypriniformes; Cyprinidae. The record is from RNAcentral.